GUGACUGCGUACCUUUUGUAUAAUGGGUCAGCGACUUAUAUUCUGUAGCAAGGUUAACCGAAUAGGGGAGCCGUAGGGAAACCGAGUCUUAAUUGGGCGUUAAGUUGCAGGGUAUAGACCCGAAACCCGGUGAUCUAGCCAUGGGCAGGUUGAAGGUUGGGUAACACUAACUGGAGGACCGAACCGACUAAUGUUGAAAAAUUAGCGGAUGACCUGUGGCUGGGGGUGAAAGGCCAAUCAAACCGGGAGAUAGCUGGUUCUCCCCGAAAGCUAUUUAGGUAGCGCCUCGUGAAUUCAUCUCCGGGGGUAGAGCACUGUUUCGGCUAGGGGGCCAUCCCGGCUUACCAACCCGAUGCAAACUGCGAAUACCGGAGAAUGUUAUCACGGGAGACACACGGCGGGUGCUAACGUCCGUCGUGAAGAGGGAAACAACCCAGACCGCCAGCUAAGGUCCCAAAGUCAUGGUUAAGUGGGAAACGAUGUGGGAAGGCCCAGACAGCCAGGAUGUUGGCUUAGAAGCAGCCAUCAUUUAAAGAAAGCGUAAUAGCUCACUGGUCGAGUCGGCCUGCGCGGAAGAUGUAACGGGGCUAAACCAUGCACCGAAGCUGCGGCAGCGA
This 617-nucleotide ribosomal RNA is filed under the name Salmonella enterica subsp. enterica serovar Kentucky. RNAcentral describes it as "partial 23S ribosomal RNA". It matches the Rfam family "Bacterial large subunit ribosomal RNA", at positions 593 to 1211 of the family's 2925-position model. Lineage: Bacteria; Pseudomonadati; Pseudomonadota; Gammaproteobacteria; Enterobacterales; Enterobacteriaceae. The record is from RNAcentral.